UCUGCACUUACCAGCAAGCCACUUAGCCUCGGUUUCCUAUGUGAAACACCUCACUGCGGUGCUAUAUGAAAUGAGAUAAGGAUGUGCAGUGCUUAGCACAGAGCCUGGCAUAUUGUCGCUAUUCGUUCACAGGAGCUGUGAGUGUAUGGGGAGGGAGUGGGGCAGCAAAGAGAAGAGCAAAGGAGAGGUCAGAAGCAGCGCUGCCAAGGACCGUCCUGUUGUCAUGAGGUCUCCUGACCCAGGGCAGCAUAGUUCCUGGCACUUCAUAAAUUCUCAAAAAGUUUCUGCUAAAUGAAUGAAGAAAGGAAGGAAGGAGGCUGAAAGAAAUAACAAUGUUUGGAGUCAUUUGAGACUCAAGAAAAAUAUUAGAAACCUGAAUUAUGUUGAAUGAAAACAUAAACUGAAAGAAAAUAAGUUGAAAGAAACUGCGGGGAUUAAAACCCAGUGUAUGGGUUAUGGUGAGGGUCAAAUUAACAAAUAUUUUUUGAGCACUGUAGGAAUCAGGGUCUUGGCAAGAAAGGGUGAGACUCUGAUUUGUAGGGAAGGUUUAAUGAAGGGACUAUUUACAAAGUAUGGGCAGAGGGAAGAAAACAAAAACAGGAUGGUAGAGCCCCUUUUUCUAGCAAGUGCUGGAAGCUGCCUUUAUUAUGCCUGGGCCUAAGGGAACAAGGACAGGGAGUAGUUACAAGAGCCCUGAAAGAACUGUUCCUAUGGGACAGUGAACAUCCAACAGGACAGGAGAGGAGCAGCUACUACCAAACACUGACGCCUGUAGGGGAGGAAGCUGAGAGAAUAAAUGGACUGUCGGGUCUUCUCUGCGCUCUGGUCUCUUCCCAUUGGCUGGACCAGCUGGACGGCAGUGAGCAAGAGGUCCACAGAAGUCAGCUUCCCAGAGCAUGGAGCAGGGUGAAGACUAUGGACAGUGAGGCUGGAGAGACAAGCAGAGAAUAUCCAAGACAAGCAGCUCUGUCAAUCUUUGUGCUGGUGCAAGGAUACAACAGAGAAGAGGGCAGAAUGAGUUCUUGACCAUGAUCGUAGAGUUUAUAGUCUUGGGGGAGAAACAAACAGUAACCAAACAAUUAUAAUAGAGUACGAUACAUGUCAUGGUAUAAGGUAUAUCUGAAACUCAACGAGUACUUAGAAGAGACACUUAUCAAGGCUUGAGUCUCAGAGAAAACUUCCAAGAAAAAGUGGCAUCCAAACUGGCACCUCGAAUACUCAGCUGACUUCAAAAGAUACAGUUAAGAGAAUGAAAAGAAGCCACCAACUGGGACAAAAUAUUUGCAAAUCAUAUAUCUGAUAAAGAACUUGUGUCUAGAAUAUAUAAAGAACUCUCAAACACAAUACUAAGAAAACAAACAACCCAAAUAAGAAAUGGGCAAAAGAUUUGAACAGACACUUCACCAAAGAAGAUAUACAGAUGGCAAAUAAACACAUGAAAUGAUUUUCAAGAUCACUGGGCAUUAGGGAAAGGCAAUUUAAGCCACAGUGAUAUAAUACUAUACACCUAUUAGAAUGGUUAAAAUUAAAAAGACUGGCCAUACUAAGCAUCAGCGAGGAUGAGGAGAAACUGGAGCUCUUACAUACUGCUGAUAAGAAUGUCAAAUGGUGCAACCACUUUGGAAAACAGAUUGGCCGUCUUUUAAGAAGUUAAAAAACAUAUACCUACUUAGUUUCCUAGAGAUGCCAUAACAAAGUACCACACCUGGGUGGCUUAAAACAAUAGGACUUUAUUCCUCUCACAAUUUUGUAGGUCAGAAGCCCAAAAUUAAAGUGUCAGCAGGGCUGGUUCCUUCUUGAGGCGCUGAGGAAGACUCUGUUCCAUGUCUCUUUCCCAGCUUCUGGUGUUGACAAUAAUCCUUGGCAGAUGCAUUAAUACAAUCUCUGCUUCCAUUGUCACACGGCCUUCUUUCCUGUCUCUCUCUCUCUAUCUUCACAUAACCUUCUUACAAGGACAUCAGUCACUGGAUGUAGGGCCCACCCUAAACAAUAAGACCUCAUUGUAACUAUUUACAUCUAAAAAGAUCCUAUUUCCAAAUACAGUCACAUUCUGAGCUUCCAGGUGGACGUGAAUUUUGGGGGACACUAUUCAAUCCAGUACAAUGACCGUAUGAUUCAGCCAUUCCACUCCUAGGUAUUUACCCAAGAAAAAUGAAAGCAUAUGUCCAUAUAAGAUUUGCACAUGAAUAUUCAAAGGAGCUUUAUUUGUAAUAGCAAAAAACCGGAAACAAUUCAGUUGCCCAUUAAGGGAUGAAUGCAUAAAUAGGUUUAGGUAUAUCCAAACAAUGGAAUGCUACUCAGCAAUAAAAAGCAAUGAACUAUUGAUGCAUGCAACAACAUGGCUGCGUCUUGAAAUAAUUACGUUGAAUGAAAGAAGCUAGACAGAAAAAGAGUACAUACUUUAUGAUUCCAUUUAUAUUAAAUUCUGGAAAAUGUAAACUAAUCUGUGGUGACAAAAAGCAGAUUAGUGGUUGCCUGGAAAUGGGAAUGGGAAUGGGAAUGGGGGGCUAGUGGGAGGAGAGAGACUUAGCUGACUCAAGAGGGAAUCCACAAAUGUUCCAGACAGAGGGAAUAGAGGCAAGAGUGGACAUAAGGUACUUGAGAAACUCUUGUAGUAGAGAGAUUGGAUAUUGAGGUGGGAGGUUCUGGAAGCACUGAGGCUCAACAGGAAAGCUAGGGCUCCCAAAUCGUGUUAAAAAUCUUUAUGCUAAAGCCAACAGGAAGCCAUUAAGGAGUUUUAUUGUGACAAGAUUUAUGUGUUACAUUUUAGAGAGAACAUUCCUGCUCUAGUAUCAAGAAUGGAUUGAAGGUGAGUUAUUCAUAAUGGUUAGGAGGCUGCUGCAGGAGUCUGGAUAAAGAGAUGGCCCUUGUCUGGACUAGAAGGCAGACAGUGAGGAUUAGGAGACCUGAACAUACCUUGUAAGAUAUUUAAGAGGAAGGCUCAUCAAGACUUAGUAUUUGACCAGGUGUGUUGAGGAGAAAGAGGAGUUGUCAGGAAUGAUGUCCCCUUUCUGGCAUGGCCAAUCUAGUGGUUCCAUCCACUGAGAAACUAGUUU
RNAcentral lists this long non-coding RNA (3056 nucleotides) under Equus caballus (horse). RNAcentral describes it as "lncRNA (ENSECAG00000056720.1)". Lineage: Eukaryota; Metazoa; Chordata; Mammalia; Perissodactyla; Equidae. The record is from RNAcentral.